GGGGCUAUAGCUCAGCUGGGAGAGCGCUUUGCUGGCAGCGAAGAGGUCAUCGGUUCGAUCCCGUUUAGCUCCACCA
RNAcentral lists this transfer RNA (76 nucleotides) under Photobacterium damselae. Its description in RNAcentral is "tRNA-Ala". It matches the Rfam family "tRNA". From Rfam's summary of the family: Transfer RNA (tRNA) molecules are approximately 80 nucleotides in length. The record is from RNAcentral. RNAcentral also lists the same sequence under 1 other name. Lineage: Bacteria; Pseudomonadati; Pseudomonadota; Gammaproteobacteria; Vibrionales; Vibrionaceae.